RNAcentral lists this ribosomal RNA (418 nucleotides) under Boana dentei group sp. ABGD cluster 31. RNAcentral describes it as "partial large subunit ribosomal RNA". Lineage: Eukaryota; Metazoa; Chordata; Amphibia; Anura; Hylidae. The record is from RNAcentral.
ACAUCGCCUCUUGAUCAAAAUAUGAGAGGUCCAGCCUGCCCAGUGACCUAGUUCAACGGCCACGGUAUCCUGACCGUGCGAAGGUAGCGUAAUCACUUGUUCUUUAAAUGGGGACUAGUAUGAAUGGCAUCACGAGGGUUAAACUGUCUCCUUUUUCUAAUCAGUGAAAUUAAUCUCCCCGUGAAGAAGCGAGGAUAACUUUAUAAGACGAGAAGACCCUAUGGAGCUUAAAACGAAUUUACACCUGCUUUUUAUUUAUUUUACUUCCCGAAUUUGCACAAACAUUAUAGCACAAUUGACAUGUAGUUUUCGAYUGGGGUGAUCCUGGGGUAAAAAAUAACCCCCAGGACGACAAAGGGCCACCCUUGAGCCAAAAGCCACAACUUUAAGCACUAAAAAAUUAACGCAACUUGACCCA